UUGGAGGGCAAGUCUGGUGCCAGCAGCCGCGGUAAUUCCAGCUCCAAUAGCGUAUAUUAAAGUUGUUGCAGUUAAAAAGCUCGUAGUUGAAUUUCGGGAUUCUACCGUUGGUCGGGCUAACAAGUCUGUACUGGUGUGUAGAAUUUCUACCUUCUGGGGAACUAUCAUGUUAUUAAUUUAGCGUGGUGGGAAACCAGGACCUUUACCUUGAAAAAAUUAGAGUGUUCAAAGCAGGCUUACGUCUGAAUACAUUAGCAUGGAAUAAUAGAAUAGGACGGUGGUCCUGUUUUGUUGGUUUCUGAAUCACCGUAAUGAUUAAUAGGGAUAGUUGGGGGCAUUAGUAUUCAAUUGUCAGAGGUGAAAUUCUUGGAUUUAUUGAAGACUAACUUCUGCGAAAGCAUUUGCCAAGGAUGUUUUCAUUAAUCAAGAACGAAAGUUAGGGGAUCGAAGACGAUCAGAUACCGUCGUAGUCUUAACCAUAAACUAUGCCGACUAGGGAUCGGACGAUGUUAAAUUUUAUUGACUCGUUCGGCGCCUUACGGGAAAC
Molecule: ribosomal RNA, 547 nt
Filed under: uncultured Glomeromycotina
Lineage: Eukaryota; Fungi; Glomeromycota
Description: SSU rRNA
Rfam family: Eukaryotic small subunit ribosomal RNA
Source: RNAcentral